RNAcentral lists this ribosomal RNA (526 nucleotides) under Erwinia sp. Z2NS-257. RNAcentral describes it as "bacterial SSU rRNA". It matches the Rfam family "Bacterial small subunit ribosomal RNA", at positions 55 to 572 of the family's 1533-position model. Lineage: Bacteria; Pseudomonadati; Pseudomonadota; Gammaproteobacteria; Enterobacterales; Erwiniaceae. The record is from RNAcentral.
AUGCAAGUCGAACGGUAGCACAGAGAGCUUGCUCUUGGGUGACGAGUGGCGGACGGGUGAGUAAUGUCUGGGAAACUGCCUGAUGGAGGGGGAUAACUACUGGAAACGGUAGCUAAUACCGCAUAACGUCUUCGGACCAAAGUGGGGGACCUUCGGGCCUCACACCAUCGGAUGUGCCCAGAUGGGAUUAGCUAGUAGGUGGGGUAAUGGCUCACCUAGGCGACGAUCCCUAGCUGGUCUGAGAGGAUGACCAGCCACACUGGAACUGAGACACGGUCCAGACUCCUACGGGAGGCAGCAGUGGGGAAUAUUGCACAAUGGGCGCAAGCCUGAUGCAGCCAUGCCGCGUGUAUGAAGAAGGCCUUCGGGUUGUAAAGUACUUUCAGCGGGGAGGAAGGCGAUAAGGUUAAUAACCUUGUCGAUUGACGUUACCCGCAGAAGAAGCACCGGCUAACUCCGUGCCAGCAGCCGCGGUAAUACGGAGGGUGCAAGCGUUAAUCGGAAUUACUGGGCGUAAAGCGCACGC